GGGGCUGUAGAAGAACGGUAAUUCGUCGCACUGUCUAUGCGAAGAUAGCGGGUUCGACUCCCGUCAGCCUCG
This 72-nucleotide transfer RNA is filed under the name Jeotgalibacillus malaysiensis. RNAcentral describes it as "tRNA-Asp (GTC) (tRNA-Asp-GTC-2-1)". It matches the Rfam family "tRNA". Rfam says of the family: Transfer RNA (tRNA) molecules are approximately 80 nucleotides in length. Their secondary structure includes four short double-helical elements and three loops (D, anti-codon, and T loops). Further hydrogen bonds mediate the characteristic L-shaped molecular structure. tRNAs have two regions of fundamental functional importance: the anti-codon, which is responsible for specific mRNA codon recognition, and the 3' end, to which the tRNAs corresponding amino acid is attached (by aminoacyl-tRNA synthetases). tRNAs cope with the degeneracy of the genetic code in two manners: having more than one tRNA (with a specific anti-codon) for a particular amino acid; and 'wobble' base-pairing, i.e. permitting non-standard base-pairing at the 3rd anti-codon position. The record is from RNAcentral. Lineage: Bacteria; Bacillati; Bacillota; Bacilli; Caryophanales; Caryophanaceae.